CCCGCUGAACUUAAGCAUAUCAUAAGCGGNAGGAAAGAACUAACAAGGAUUCCCCUAGUACUGCGAGUGAAGCGGGAAAAAGCUCAAUUUAAAUCUGGGGGUCCCUGUGGGCCCUCGAGUUUGUAUCUAGAGAAGUGCUAUCCGCGCUGGACCGUGUACAAGUCUCCUGGAACGGAGCGUCAUAGAGGGUGAGAUCCCGUCUUUGACACGGACUACCAGGGCUUAUGUGAUGUGCUCUCAAAGAGUCGAGUGNNUUGGAAAUGCAGCUCUAAUGGNNUGGUAAAUUCCAUCUAAAGCUAAAUAUUGGCGAGAGACCGAUAGCGACAAAGUACCGUGAGGGAAAGAUGAAAAGAACUUUGGAAAGAGAGUUAAACAGUACGUGAAAUUGUUGAAAGGGAAACGCUUGAAGUCAGUCGCGUUGCCCAGAAAUCAACCUUGCUUUUGCUUGGUGUACUUUCUGGUUAACGGGUCAGCAUCAAUUUUGACCGGUGGAUAAAGGUCAGGGGAAUGUGGCAUCUUCGGAUGUGUUAUAGCCCUUAGUUGCAUACAUCGAUUGGGAUUGAGGAACUCAGCAUGCCGCAAGGCCGGGUUUUUAACCACGUACAUGCUUAGGAUGCUGGCAUAAUGGCUUUAAUCGACCCGUCUUGAAACACGG
This 655-nucleotide ribosomal RNA is filed under the name uncultured fungus. Its description in RNAcentral is "eukaryotic LSU rRNA". It matches the Rfam family "Eukaryotic large subunit ribosomal RNA", at positions 24 to 664 of the family's 3401-position model. The record is from RNAcentral. Lineage: Eukaryota; Fungi.